This is a ribosomal RNA of Talaromyces stipitatus ATCC 10500, 1789 nucleotides long. It matches the Rfam family "Bacterial large subunit ribosomal RNA", at positions 1 to 1959 of the family's 2925-position model. The record is from Rfam. Lineage: Eukaryota; Fungi; Ascomycota; Eurotiomycetes; Eurotiales; Trichocomaceae.
AUUAUGUAUAAAAAGAAAUUAUUAUGGAUAAUUAGCUAUAUAUUAAAGAAUCACAUAGAUGUUAUCUUGAUUCUAAGAGAAAUCCUAAAUAAUAAAACAAAGUGAAUUGAAAUAUCUUAGUAACUUUAGGAAAAUAAAUCAAACGAGAUUGUUAUUUAAGUAAAUACUAAAUAAUAAUAGCCUAAUUUAAGUAAAAUGGAUAAUAUCUGUUUGAAUAUAGGGGAACCUUCCUCUAAGGCUAAAUAUGAUAUAUAAGCGAUAGUGAAUAGUACCGUGAGGUAAAAUUUGAAAUAGUAAUUUUAUAAGCAGCUCGAGUAAAAAUUAAAAUUAAAAAUAAGAGUGUACCUUUUGCAUAAUGGGUCAGCAAGUUAAUUUUAGAUGCAAGUGUAUAAUUUUUAGUAUUUUUUGAGAUAUUAAAUUAUCUAAGAUAAACCAAUUAUGAAAAAAUGAUAAGUAUCUAAAAUUAGACCCGAAGGCUAGUGAUCUUACCAUGGUCAGGGUUAAAAAAGCCCGAACGGGUUAUCGUUGUAUAGAUAUCCGAUGAAUUGUGGUAAGUUAGUGAAAGAUAAAACUGACUAGUAUAGCUGGUUUUCCGCGAAACCUAUGUGAGUAGGUAAUUUAAUUAACAUCUUAGCAGGUACAGAACUGUGAUCUCGGACAAUAUUAUUUAUAUAAUAUUUGUUUACAUCGGGGGAUUGUAGUGAUUUUAUCGGAGAGUAUUUGCACUCGGAAGGGCAAAGAUGAUUGUUGAAUAAUCGGACAUAGUACGAUAAGGUUGUAUGUCUAAAGGGAAACAGCCCAGAACAAGAGUUUAAGGUUCCAAAAUUAUUGUUAAGUGAAAUUAAGGAUGUUUUUUUCAAAAACAAUCAGGAAAUAGGCUUAGAGGCGGCCAUUUUUUGAAGAUCUCGUAACAGAGCACUGAUUAAAUUUAAUAGGAAAAAAUACCGAAAAUUUAACGGAUCUAAAUAAUAUACCGAAACCUUGUACACAAUAACUGUGGGGUAGCGGAACAUCGGAUGUUUGAAUAUUAAGUAUAUUUUUUUUUUUAAGUAUACUUACAAGUAUAAUAUAAUAUAUACUUUUUAUUUUAUAUUAUACUGAGAGAAUUCCGAUAGAUAAUGCUGACAUGAGUAACGAAAAAGUUAACCUCGCCUUAAGCUUAUGGUAUUUUAUUUAAUUUUCGGUGUCUAAGUAAUUAAUCUAAAGAUAAUUGCGAUGACGUAAUGGUGAAUAUGUAAUUAAUAUAUUUAUUAAUUAUAUUUCUAACUAAUUACUAAACUAUUGAUAUACAAUAUGUAUAUAUUUAUUAUUUUAUUGAAAGAUUGCAUAACCUUUGUAAAGUAGCAUAGGUUCAGGAAGUAAAUUUUUCAUUAUAUAUAUAUAUAUAUACUUAGAUAUUGCUGUAUUAAAUUAUAUAGUUAUAGUAGUUAGUAUAUACCGUACCUAGAUACUAACACAAGUAAGCAAGUAGAGUAUACAAAGGCGUUUGAGUGAACAAUCAUUAAGGAACUCGGCAAAUUAACUACCGUAACUUCGGGAUAAGGAGAACCAUUUUUAUUAGUUUGACCAAUUUUUGGAUAAUUAUUAAAUUAAUAGAAAGAGGAGGCAUAGAAUAAUGUUGUACGACUGUUUAAUAAAAACAAAGCACUCUGCCAAGAUAAAAUGUCUAAGUAUUGAGUGUGAUGUCUGCCCAAUGUCGGCUGGAUAACGAAUUUAUCUUGAUAUUUAUUUAAGGUUUUGAAGGAUACCCCGAUCAAUGGCGGCCUUACCUAUGAGGGUCCUAAGGUAG